UGGUAGACCACCACGUUGAUAGGCUGGAUGUGGAAGUGCGGUAACGCAUGUAGCUGACCAGUACUAAUAGCUCAAUUGGCUUAAUUUAUG
RNAcentral lists this ribosomal RNA (90 nucleotides) under Rickettsiales bacterium. RNAcentral's name for it is "partial 23S ribosomal RNA". It matches the Rfam family "Bacterial large subunit ribosomal RNA", at positions 2838 to 2925 of the family's 2925-position model. Lineage: Bacteria; Pseudomonadati; Pseudomonadota; Alphaproteobacteria; Rickettsiales. The record is from RNAcentral.